This 1276-nucleotide ribosomal RNA is filed under the name Flavobacterium sp. Its description in RNAcentral is "bacterial SSU rRNA". It matches the Rfam family "Bacterial small subunit ribosomal RNA", at positions 56 to 1341 of the family's 1533-position model. The record is from RNAcentral. Lineage: Bacteria; Pseudomonadati; Bacteroidota; Flavobacteriia; Flavobacteriales; Flavobacteriaceae.
UGCAGUCGAGGGGUAUAGGAAGCUUGCUUUCUAGAGACCGGCGCACGGGUGCGUAACGCGUAUGCAAUCUACCUUUCACAGAGGGAUAGCCCANAGAAAUUUGGAUUAAUACCUCAUAGUAAUACNACNUGGCAUCNNGAUGUAUUUAAAGAUUUAUCGGUGAAAGAUGAGCAUGCGUCCCAUUAGCUAGUUGGUAUGGUAACGGCAUACCAAGGCUACGAUGGGUAGGGGUCCUGAGAGGGAGAUCCCCCACACUGGUACUGAGACACGGACCAGACUCCUACGGGAGGCAGCAGUGAGGAAUAUUGGACAAUGGGCGCAAGCCUGAUCCAGCCAUGCCGCGUGCAGGAUGACGGUCCUAUGGAUUGUAAACUGCUUUUAUACAGGAAGAAACACCUCUACGUGUAGAGACUUGACGGUACUGUAAGAAUAAGGAUCGGCUAACUCCGUGCCAGCAGCCGCGGUAAUACGGAGGAUCCAAGCGUUAUCCGGAAUCAUUGGGUUUAAAGGGUCCGUANGCGGUCAGGUAAGUCAGUGGUGAAAGCCCAUCGCUCAACGGUGGAACGGCCAUUGAUACUGCUUGACUUGAAUUAUUAGGAAGUAACUAGAAUAUGUAGUGUAGCGGUGAAAUGCUUAGAGAUUACAUGGAAUACCAAUUGCGAAGGCAGGUUACUACUAAUAUAUUGACGCUGAUGGACGAAAGCGUGGGUAGCGAACAGGAUUAGAUACCCUGGUAGUCCACGCCGUAAACGAUGGAUACUAGCUGUUGGGAGCAAUCUCAGUGGCUAAGCGAAAGUGAUAAGUAUCCCACCUGGGGAGUACGAACGCAAGUUUGAAACUCAAAGGAAUUGACGGGGGCCCGCACAAGCGGUGGAGCAUGUGGUUUAAUUCGAUGAUACGCGAGGAACCUUACCAAGGCUUAAAUGUAGAUUGACCGGUUUGGAAACAGAUCUUUCGCAAGACAAUUUACAAGGUGCUGCAUGGUUGUCGUCAGCUCGUGCCGUGAGGUGUCAGGUUAAGUCCUAUAACGAGCGCAACCCCUGUUGUUAGUUGCCAGCGAGUCAUGUCGGGAACUCUAACGAGACUGCCAGUGCAAACUGUGAGGAAGGUGGGGAUGACGUCAAAUCAUCACGGCCCUUACGCCUUGGGCUACACACGUGCUACAAUGGCCGGUACAGAGAGCAGCCACUGGGCGACCAGGAGCGAAUCUACAAAACCGGNCACAGUUCGGAUCGGAGUCUGCAACUCGACNCCGUGAAGCNGGAAUCGCUAGUAA